AUUGAACGCUGGCGGCAGGCCCAACGCAUGCAAGUCGAGCGGAUGAAGGGAGCUUGCUCCUGGAUUCAGCGGCGGACGGGUGAGUAAUGCCUAGGAAUCUGCCUGGUAGUGGGGGAUAACGUCCGGAAACGGGCGCUGAUACCGCAUACGUCCUGAGGGAGAAAGUGGGGGAUCUUCGGACCUCACGCUAUCAGAUGAGCCUAGGUCGGAUUAGCUAGUUGGUGGGGUAAAGGCCUACCAAGGCGACGAUCCGUAACUGGUCUGAGAGGAUGAUCAGUCACACUGGAACUGAGACACGGUCCAGACUCCUACGGGAGGCAGCAGUGGGGAAUAUUGGACAAUGGGCGAAAGCCUGAUCCAGCCAUGCCGCGUGUGUGAAGAAGGUCUUCGGAUUGUAAAGCACUUUAAGUUGGGAGGAAGGGCAGUAAGUUAAUACCUUGCUGUUUUGACGUUACCAACAGAAUAAGCACCGGCUAACUUCGUG
This 484-nucleotide ribosomal RNA is filed under the name uncultured bacterium. Its description in RNAcentral is "partial 16S ribosomal RNA". It matches the Rfam family "Bacterial small subunit ribosomal RNA", at positions 30 to 507 of the family's 1533-position model. The record is from RNAcentral.